This 829-nucleotide long non-coding RNA is filed under the name Fukomys damarensis (Damara mole-rat). RNAcentral's name for it is "lncRNA (ENSFDAG00000032105.1)". The record is from RNAcentral. Lineage: Eukaryota; Metazoa; Chordata; Mammalia; Rodentia; Bathyergidae.
AUUAGUAAAACGCUGCUUGGCAACUGUGCCUGACAACAAGAAACAGGAGAGUAUGACAAAUAUGUACCUAGCGUUUACAUUACACACGGCACUGGGAAAUAAAACUGUCCAACUGAUUUACCUGAGGAUGAGUCAGUUUGUCCACAUAGGGCCAGGAGGAACAAGUGUGUUCACUUUAACUGUCAGAAAACCGCACGAACUGACAAUGGGCACACCGUCCCCGGGAAAUGGACUUUGGUGCCUCAAAUGCCCUUCAACCGAGCACACCCCAAGCCUCUCCCAUCCAGAGGACAAAACAGCCACAUUCCUCUCUUCCUGUCUGCCCCCCAGAUAAGUAGACUGCUCUCUGCUGAAUAUGGCUUCACUGUGACCCCCAGCCCCUAACAAGCUUUUACAGGACAAGAUGAAGCAAGCAGACACUGGAACCAGUGACGCCCACUGCAGGACAUUUGGGAAACUCCCUGCAGACAGUGCCUUCUCUUUUUAUUAGCUUUGAAACUAAUAAUCUUGUAUGUCUACAGCUAUAUGAAUAAAGUUUAUAUGAGAACAAAUCCAACACAGGCUCGAGGGACUGAGUGAGACUCAGUUCUGAUGGCUUCAUUUAAGCUCCUGGAUUCAUACGUGUGGGAGUCAGGAACAUUUCAGCAACAGGAGACAAUUCUCUCCCUUUUUACUUGAGUUAGUUUUCUGCAUUUUGACUGCAGCAAGUACUGACUGAAAUCACUAUGAUAUGAUAAGCCUUCUAAACCCUACCCUGGGAUAAAAGCAGCCAGCUGAGCCCUGGCUUCUUUCCCUGUGCAUAUUUAGGAAGCCAGGGGUUAGAACACAG